GGGGACAACCCAGGGAAACUUGGGCUAAUACCGAAUGAGAGCAUCUUCGGAUGUUUAAAAGAUGGCGAAAGCUGUUGUUUGAGGAUGAGCCUGCGUCCCAUUAGUUAGUUGGUAAGGUAAUGGCUUACCAAGGCGAUGAUAGGUAGGCGGCCUUAACGGGUGGUCGCCCACACUGGGAUUGAGAUACGGCCCAGACUCCUACGGGAGGCAGCAGUCGAGAAUAGUCUACAAUGGCCGAAAGGCUGAUAGUGCGACGCCGCGUGAACGAAGAAGCCCUUCGGGGUGUAAAGUUCUUUUAUAUGUGAGCAAUGCCUUUUAUGUGAAUAGCAUGAGAGGAGCGAUAUUAGCAUAUGAAUAAGCAACGGCUAACUCCGUGCCAGCAGCCGCGGUAACACGGGGGUUGCAAGCGUUGUCCGGAAUUACUAGGCGUAAAGGGCAGGUAGGCGGAUAGAUAAGUUUUUUGUCAAAGGCGACGGCUCACCCGUCGUAAGGCAGGAGAUACUGUUUAUCUGGAAUGCGGUUGGGGAAGACAGAAUUCCUGGUGUAGCGGUGGAAUGCGCAGAGAUCAGGAGGAAUACCGAANGCGAANGCAGUCUUCUAAGCCGUUAUUGACGCUAAAC
RNAcentral lists this ribosomal RNA (620 nucleotides) under uncultured bacterium. RNAcentral describes it as "bacterial SSU rRNA". It matches the Rfam family "Bacterial small subunit ribosomal RNA", at positions 139 to 751 of the family's 1533-position model. The record is from RNAcentral.